RNAcentral lists this ribosomal RNA (253 nucleotides) under uncultured bacterium. Its description in RNAcentral is "partial 16S ribosomal RNA". It matches the Rfam family "Bacterial small subunit ribosomal RNA", at positions 524 to 776 of the family's 1533-position model. The record is from RNAcentral.
UACAGAGGUCGCAAGCGUUGUUCGGAAUCAUUGGGCGUAAAGGGCGCGUAGGCGGCGCGGUAAGUCGGGUGUGAAAUCUCGGAGCUUAACUUCGAGACUGCAUUCGAUACUGCCGUGCUUGAGGACUGGAGAGGAGACUGGAAUUUACGGUGUAGCGGUGAAAUGCGUAGAUAUCGUAAGGAAGACCAGUGGCGAAGGCGGGUCUCUGGACAGUUCCUGACGCUGAGGCACGAAGGCCAGGGGAGCAAACGGG